This is a long non-coding RNA of Acanthopagrus latus (yellowfin seabream), 301 nucleotides long. RefSeq lists it as uncharacterized. The record is from RefSeq and is a predicted model, not a curated record. NCBI's taxonomy places the organism in Eukaryota, Metazoa, Chordata, Actinopteri, Spariformes, Sparidae. The transcript is spliced from 3 exons.
CAGCGCCAUCCGACAUGAGAUCUGUGAUACCUCCAUCCUGUAAUGGACCUCUGCUUUAAUGCAGCCCCAUCAUCCGCGAGGAGAAGCAUUGGCAAAUUGGUAAUGGCAUCAUUGGUACCCAUCUAACCAGCACUCCAGAUAUCGGUGAGCUGAGAUGUCCAUACAGAGCCCUAAGGCGUGAUGACUCUGCACCUCCCACAUCAGUUUUUCGCCCAAGAGGAGGUUAUCUGCCCUGGACUGUCCUCUCUUUCACCAAAUGGUCGGCGUGUCUUGCAAUAUAGAGCACACCACUCUUGAAGGG